Molecule: ribosomal RNA, 300 nt
Filed under: uncultured Methanococcoides sp.
Lineage: Archaea; Methanobacteriati; Methanobacteriota; Methanomicrobia; Methanosarcinales; Methanosarcinaceae
Description: bacterial SSU rRNA
Rfam family: Bacterial small subunit ribosomal RNA
Source: RNAcentral
GCUAACGUCGUGGCAGAAGCGGCGGUAAGACGAAGGAGGCAAGCGUUAUCCGGAUUCAUUGGGUUUAAAGGGAGCGUAGGCGGACUUAUAAGUCAGUGGUGAAAUCUCUGGGCUUAACCCAGAAACUGCCAUUGAUACUGUAAGUCUUGAGUACAGUUGCCGUUGGCGGAAUAUGACAUGUAGUGGUGAAAUACUUAGAUAUGUCAUAGAACACCGAUUGCGAAGGCAGCUAACGAAGCUGUAACUGACGCUGAGGCUCGAAAGUGCGGGGAUCAAACAGGAUUAGAUACCCUUGUAGUC